AAUCAACGCUGGCGGCGUGCCUAACACAUGCAAGUCGAACGCGAAAAGGGCUUCGGUCCUGAGUAGAGUGGCCGUCCGGGUGAGUAACGCGUGGGUUAUCUACCGUUGGGUGGGGAAUAACUAGUCGAAAGAUUAGCUAAUACCGCAUUAAUGCAGUUUCUUAGUGGAAUCCUGUUAAAGCAGUAAUGUGCCUAAUGAUGAGCCUGCGUCUGAUUAGCUUGUUGGUAAGGUAAUGGCUUACCAAGGCUUCUAUCAGUAGCUGGUCUGACGAGGACGGCCAGCCACAAUGGCACUGAAACACGGGCCAUACUCUACGGGAGGC
This 322-nucleotide ribosomal RNA is filed under the name uncultured bacterium. Its description in RNAcentral is "bacterial SSU rRNA". It matches the Rfam family "Bacterial small subunit ribosomal RNA", at positions 32 to 349 of the family's 1533-position model. The record is from RNAcentral.